GACGAACCGUGCAAACGUUGUUCGGAUUCACUGGGCUUAAAGGGCGCGUAGGCGGACGGUCAAGUCGGGGGUGAAAUCUUUCAGCUUAACUGGAAAAGUGCCUCCGAUACUGAUCGUCUCGAGGGAGGUAGGGGCAUGUGGAAUUUCCGGUGGAGCGGUGAAAUGCGUAGAGAUCGGAAAGAACACCAACGGCGAAAGCACUCUGCUGGGCCGACACUGACACUGAGAGACGAAAGCUAGGGGAGCGAAUGGG
Molecule: ribosomal RNA, 253 nt
Filed under: uncultured bacterium
Lineage: Bacteria
Description: partial 16S ribosomal RNA
Rfam family: Bacterial small subunit ribosomal RNA
Source: RNAcentral